AAAGAAGAACAGAGAUAAACAUCCCCUGGUGGCUUCCCCAGCCAACUCACAGAGGGCAGGCAGGACAAGCUUACAGGCUUUGGGCUCAGCUAUUUAAAUUUUCUCUAAGAGAGGUCUAGAAACCUCUUUCCUAAUGGUUGCAGCCUGUUUUCCACAGUGAACAGUGCGUACUCAAGCUGAUUAACCUCAGAGCUAUCAGGACUCAUUGCAUAAGUACAAGUAGCUAAAGAAGAGAACAGGCGUCUCUCUGUAGAACAGAUUGCUGGGAAAGAAACCCAAGUAGGUAACCAGAGCCUUCAGGUAGAGUAGUCCCUGACCUUCGCCUGUGUCCCUUUAGCUCAGUUCCUCCCUAUCACACCCUCAUUUCUAUUCUGAGGAACAAGGACUAUUCAUGAACUGGUUGGAGUUCCUGCAGAGAUGUAAAUGAACAACUAGUCACCAUUGAUAGGGCACUGUUGACAGACCAAGGACCUGAUGCCAUCAUCCACGCCCAGCUUGGUGAACUGUGACUUUCCUGGGCUUCCUUCCAGGUGCUUGGGUGACUUGGUAGCUGCAUCACUGAAGGCCAACCCCAGCAUGGGUACCACUGCAUCUCAGGAAGCCCCUGCACAGCCUGCAGGUAGCUCUAAGACUCACCCCCAGCACUGACGUACCCCUAUGGAGGUUGUACCUUUCUUCUGAGUUCUCCUGACUUUCUUUUGUGUUUGAUAAGGCUCCUCUUUCUGGUGGGAUGCACUUACUUAACCCCACACAGCCUGAAGAUGGACGUGGAACUGUGGUUUGGUGAGUCCACAUGGCUGUAAAGCACAGGACAACGCAGACUGUCAAAGUCUCCCUCCCUCUCCACAGUGUUAUUCCCCAUCACCAUGCUGCCUCCAUCCUGACCUGACAAGCCCAGUGUCCAGUGCAGGAAGCCCUCAUCCUGAGACAUGCUUCCCCUCGGAACCUCGACGUAAAGAGGAUUGCAAAACAGGAACAACAGUCAAAAGCAAGGAAAACCUAGACAGUCACAUUUCCAUAAUAUGCAAUAAGGAACCCCCUUUGAAUG
Molecule: long non-coding RNA, 1048 nt
Filed under: Mus musculus (house mouse)
Lineage: Eukaryota; Metazoa; Chordata; Mammalia; Rodentia; Muridae
Description: long non-coding RNA chr15:31282088-31283136
Source: RNAcentral